Molecule: long non-coding RNA, 757 nt
Filed under: Mus musculus (house mouse)
Lineage: Eukaryota; Metazoa; Chordata; Mammalia; Rodentia; Muridae
Description: partial Carmn_V3
Source: RNAcentral
GGCCAGAGAGCCACGGGCAAGGGGCUGAGCUGAGGGGGGUUCCAGUGCCAGUUGCUUAAAAAUGCCCCUGUAGCACCAAGAGGUGCCAGACCCAAGUGAACUUAGUUGAGAAGCAAUAACACCCACAACCACACCCCAAAUAGACUGGGCCUCCACCUCCGAAGAUUCAUCCCUGGACCAGACACCAGUCAAGGCAAGAGUGAUGGCUGGUAGGAUUCCUCCUACACUGGAGAAGAGCCCCAGAGAGGAACCUUCCUGAGAAGCCGAAAAGGGACAGCAACAGCCGCCCAGCUCCCAGAACUCGUCCCCUCCUCUCACCCCUCCCGGGAGCUUCCCAACGGACAGAAGGGAGAGAUCCCCUUGCCUGGAGACAUCUUCUGAAGACAUGGGAAAAGGAGACGAGGCGGGCUACUCCCUGGCAGCAGGCCUUCAAGCUGUUGACAACCAGUACCAAGAAGAGUGCCAGGUAAGAUCUGGAGUCCACCUGGUUCAGCCACCGCUUUAACAGAAUGGAGAACGGGAGAUGAAGGGGCCCAGUGAGAAAUAUCCCUGCUCUCUGGAGAUAGAGCUUGGCUCUCUAAGCCUCUCUCAUCUUCGAAACGGCAGCUCAGGGAGGGCGAAGGAGCCUUUCUUGGGGUGAAUGAAAGGCUUCUUCAAAUACUUCUUCUCAGGGAGGCUACAUUUGAGGGAGCCAGGGGUCCGGACAAGCUCUGCCUACCAGCCCAGGACGUGUAUGUUCAUGGGCCCAGAGAAAAAA